UGCUGCUGACCCUUUCCAUUACUAAAGCACCGGAUCCCAUCAGAACUCUGAAGUUAAGCGUGCUUGGGCGAGAGUAGUACUAGGAUGGGUGACCUCCUGGGAAGUCCUCGUGUUGCAUUCC
This is a non-coding RNA of Triticum aestivum (bread wheat), 121 nucleotides long. The record is from Rfam. Lineage: Eukaryota; Viridiplantae; Streptophyta; Magnoliopsida; Poales; Poaceae.